This 619-nucleotide ribosomal RNA is filed under the name Paracoccus sp. AS1. RNAcentral's name for it is "bacterial SSU rRNA". It matches the Rfam family "Bacterial small subunit ribosomal RNA", at positions 10 to 677 of the family's 1533-position model. Lineage: Bacteria; Pseudomonadati; Pseudomonadota; Alphaproteobacteria; Rhodobacterales; Paracoccaceae. The record is from RNAcentral.
AGUUUGAUCCUGGCUCAGAACGAACGCUGGCGGCAGGCCUAACACAUGCAAGUCGAGCGCACCUUCGGGUGAGCGGCGGACGGGUGAGUAACGCGUGGGAAUAUGCCCUUUGGUACGGAAUAGUCCUGGGAAACUGGGGGUAAUACCGUAUGCGCCCUUCGGGGGAAAGAUUUAUCGCCAAAGGAUUAGCCCGCGUUGGAUUAGGUAGUUGGUGGGGUAAUGGCCUACCAAGCCGACGAUCCAUAGCUGGUUUGAGAGGAUGAUCAGCCACACUGGGACUGAGACACGGCCCAGACUCCUACGGKAGGCAGCAGUGGGGAAUCUUAGACAAUGGGGGCAACCCUGAUCUAGCCAUGCCGCGUGAGUGAUGAAGGCCCUAGGGUUGUAAAGCUCUUUCAGCUGGGAAGAUAAUGACGGUACCAGCAGAAGAAGCCCCGGCUAACUCCGUGCCAGCAGCCGCGGUAAUACGGAGGGGGCUAGCGUUGUUCGGAAUUACUGGGCGUAAAGCGCACGUAGGCGGACCGGAAAGUUGGGGGUGAAAUCCCGGGGCUCAACCCCGGAACUGCCUUCAAAACUAUCGGUCUGGAGUUCGAGAGAGGUGAGUGGAAUUCCGAKUGYA